CACAUAUCCAGGCAUGAGAGUUUGUUGGUCAAGCUUGUAACCGAUUUCUCAUGUUUCUCACUCUCAUAAAACGACAGUGAAAUAAAUUUUGUGCAACGGGAACGCGCAUCCGCGAAUUUUCCAACGAUGCAGGUUCGCGUUGCAACUAAAUCGAGGUAUUAAACACAAAUAACAUACAUCCAUGUGUGUCACCCUAUAAAAUGCCAAGAGAAAAAAGAAAAAGUCGGCGUGCAGGUUAAAUUUUUAUCGACGUGCUUUCCAGGUUGUAUUACGUGAUUGCUGAUAGAUAAAAAUAAAUACAGAUGACAUUAUUGGAAAGCUAUCAAACAAUGAAAUCUCCAGAGAUAAGACUUAACACCUCUGAUAACUGACCUGAAUAGGCAUUAUGGUGCUGGGCUCUUGGAUAACAACGUUCUUAGCAAAUCUAACUGACAAGGGCAUGUCUGCGCCAACUGAACCUCCCUUCUCAGAUGCCGUGUAUUGCUCACAUGGAUUGAGGUGUGUCCUUUUCUUGCUAACAUGGCAUCUUUUACGCUUUGAUCGACGAGGUUUUGUAGUAUCUUCUCUGUUUCGUCCCGAUACUCGACCCGAGCUUGUGGAAACAAUUUGUGAGUGCACCAUACAUAAUACCAGCAUCAUGCCAGCUGGUAUAAGAACCUCAAAGGCAGAUACGAUCUUGAAAUAAGCUCACUAUUGUUCUUCAUCGAAUAACAACAGUAGACUACGACGUUGAAUAUUUGCAAGCAGUAAAGCAGCAAGAAAAGCGCAAAUAUUCUGGGACUCGUCUGUUGGACCCACCAGGUUCUAUGCAUAGGAAGUAACAACAGUCUUCGUACAGCCAAGUAAGCAACAGUACAUAAUCCAUGUUCAGGCUUUGCUUUUGGGAAUGACGAACCUACAAACAAAAAAAAGAAAAUACAAUUUGUUCUCAUAAGUAUAGACCAAAUCCUAUACAAGUUACAGACCCAUUUUAUAUUGAGAAGCCAAAAUAACUUGAAUUGAAAAUUAGUGAAACGUGAUUCUAAAAAUAUCAUAGUUCUUUGUUUCAGUUUGUGGUCAAAAAUAACUGAGGCAUCUUUGAUUCAAUAGAUAUUAGAUAUGCUGGAAUAUUCUCACCUCUGACUAGGUCAACAUCUAUGAGAUUUGUUUUUAAAUUAGCUCUGGUAAUAGGAAUCCAUAUGAAAUGAUCAAUGAAACGUUGCUCCAAGGUUUUUUCCCAUUGCUGUUUAUCAUACGUGCCUAUCUUUUUCUGAUACCUAUAUAUUGGAAAAAGAACUUAACGUAAAAUAAAAACACAUAACCACAUC
Molecule: long non-coding RNA, 1307 nt
Organism: Athalia rosae (coleseed sawfly)
Lineage: Eukaryota; Metazoa; Arthropoda; Insecta; Hymenoptera; Athaliidae
Exons: 4
Source: RefSeq, a predicted model, not a curated record